UGUAAUGUCAAUAGUGACAGGGUCUGAGAAU
This 31-nucleotide non-coding RNA is filed under the name Rattus norvegicus (Norway rat). The record is from RNAcentral. Lineage: Eukaryota; Metazoa; Chordata; Mammalia; Rodentia; Muridae.